Molecule: long non-coding RNA, 2348 nt
Organism: Halichondria panicea
Lineage: Eukaryota; Metazoa; Porifera; Demospongiae; Suberitida; Halichondriidae
Exons: 4
Source: RefSeq, a predicted model, not a curated record
UGUCUAAUGGUUUGACGAUCAUUACCCACUGACCAUUUGGUGCAGUUCUAAUACUCUGAAAGCACAUCCAUUGGAGUGGUCCUACUAGCUAGCACGGUGCACUGGACACAAUGGACCAACACUCUGACUCAGGGGAAAGGUACAGGACACCUCAACGAAUUGUGUGGCUCUGUUGUCACUCAGUCCAGUGUCUGCUGUGUCAGCAAGUACCGUUUCAGCUCAGGUGACAACUACCUAUACUGUAUGAUCAUGAUCAGGUGAUAAUGCCUCUCAAUGUGUUGCCCCCCUCCAAUUACAUAAUUUAUUAUACUCAUUUUAGACUAUAAAGUAUCAUCCAAUAGCUCUAUCCAAUAGUUUAUGAUACCGUAGAGCUAGAAAUAAAUUAACGCUAUUUUGCGAGCGUAUUUUUGUAUUUCAAGGCCUGUACAAUCCAUUGAAAUCACGGUUAUUCAAUAUUACCAAGCAUUUAAGCUCACAUGAUUAUAAUUAUUUCCACUGAUUUUGAUUCAGAUUGAGAACAUACUCCAUGACUCUGUGCACGACAUGCUACGUGGGUGAACUGCAACAAGUCACAAACGUGGGAGGAAGGGGAUCUUUUAGCCUCGAUCUCAGGCCGCACUGAAGAUAAGGUUGAUGAGGCCAUACCACUAUCUAUGACGAGGCCUAGCAUAUGCCAUUACCUACUCAGCGUGAAUGUGAUCUGCUGCCAGCAUGUGCCAGUCCAGUGGCUGUGCUAUAGGAUAAGAAUGGAUGAAUGCAUGAAAGGAUGGAGGUGAGGGGAGAUGCUUCGUAGAGACGGCACCUGUUGUAGGCUACUGAUAAUAAUCACGAGGUUCAUUGUUUUGUUCAUAUUUCCCGAUAGUAUUGCUUGCCCAUGUGUUAGACCUUAUUGGUGGAGGGAGGUCAAUAUUGAGCAGUCAUAGCUAGCUGAGUUGGCAUGGGCUCAGAGAUUUCAUUUGUCAUAAACUACAGUAUGGUGUAAUUGUUUAUCCAUGCAUGUAUGGACAUGUGGUACACUAUUGGAGGUGACCUUUCACUAAUUAUGACCUUUCAAUGACAUUCUACCAAAUUGCUUUGUUUACUGUGAAAGGGGUGGAAUGUGACACCUCUCUGAAAGGGGGAGGAUCUGAGCAAUGAUUAUGUUUACUGGGAAACAAGGCUGAAAGGGGCGAAAUUUCCUCUUUAUGUGUGGUCCCACUGUGUACACUGUAGCUAAGUGGUUGACUUGUGUUUUCUGUAAUAAGGUUUCCAUUUUGUGAAUGUCGGCGUUUGUGUAAUAGUACUGUGAAAUGUGGGGAUGAUUACGUUUACUGAACAUGUUAAGUAUAAACACGUUUACUUGUGAUACUCAUUUCAAUGAGACGAAUCUAAUAAUAUCACACCCUCACACAACACACACCCGCCCACACACAGGCACUGGGCGUACUACUGUUCAAGCUGUUCUUCAUGGAUACUCCAUUUGGUGACAACCCUCUAGCCAUAGUCAGUGCUCAGUACAGCAUUCCUGAAGACUCUCCUUACACACAAGACCUGAGAGUGACAACCCUCUAGCAGUGCUCAGUACAGCAUUCCUGAAGACUCUCCCUACACACAAGACCUGCACAACUUGAGAGGCUAUCUGUUGACCUCUGACCCUGAGCUUCGUCCCAGUAUCUGGCAAGUGUGUGAGGUGGUGUCCAGGAUCACAGGAACCACCAACCAUGUCACUAAUGUCUUUGUGAGUACCUUACUAUUAGUAUACCCUGUGUAUGUAUAGUGGUGGGUAGACCAACAGUGGCUGUAUUAUAGAGGGUGGUCUGCUAACACAGGUCCAAACACAUGCUAUGGAGACUUUGGGGAACAUUAAUCUGGCUUAUUGAUUAUACAGCAGAGGCUGACUCUGGGUCCCUUAUCAAACCUGGCUGUAUUAUAGAGGGUGACUACAAUAGACACACUCCACUCUAUAUACUGCUUAUUGAACCUCCCACCCCUCACACACACACACACACACCCACACACACACACACACACACACACACACACACCUCACAGACUGGCAGUCCAUUUCCUACGGAUGACUUUGGUAGCACUUCAUUUUUGACGGACGUUCCUCUACCCCGCCCACUCAUAAUCUGCUGACAAUGCAAGACGAGAUUUGUUUGGAGGGUUCAAAGGUUACGCCGACAAUGACAACUGUAGAUCAAUUUGGAGCAGUUCCUUUUAGCUGAAUUUUAAUAUUUAUUUUUCUGUGUGUUUAGUAUUAUUAUAAGUGUUGUUUUGUGUGUAGUAGGAUCACAUGACUCGACUAUUGACUGUACAUCUGUGCUAUUAUAAAUGGAUUUUUAUGCUUUUACAAUUGCAAUUAAUCA